AUAGGAACUCCCAAUUCUC
RNAcentral lists this small nuclear RNA (19 nucleotides) under Arabidopsis thaliana (thale cress). RNAcentral describes it as "snRNA_11026". Lineage: Eukaryota; Viridiplantae; Streptophyta; Magnoliopsida; Brassicales; Brassicaceae. The record is from RNAcentral.